AGAAGGAAGUUAGUUGCCAUUUGCCAUUCGCUCUUUCUCGACGGAGGAUGAUGUGGAGACGGUGACGACGAAUUUUUGUGUUUUUAUAACAAUGAUUCCUUAAUAAUGUAUCGAAUUAUAUGACGUUUAACUGAUCGAAGGGCAGUCGUGCAUCCUACAUACGCUACCCUAUGUAAAAAUACCUCGGAAACGAAUGACGUCGACGAGGCCAGCAUCGCUGGUGGCCUUUGUCUGAUCAUCCAACAAGGAAGAAGAUAAGUAAACUACUGAUGUUGAAUAUAAACGAUUGAGAAAAUAAGAGUGUAGAAGCAUUUGGAAAAGACGAUCAAUCAAUAUCAAAACGAGCAGAAAUCGACCUUAAGAUGAUAAUAUCAAAUACAGGAAGGGAGAUAUUGGGAUGCUUGAUAAAGUGCAUUAUCUACAAUCACAUAGAGGCGUCAGUAGUACAUCCUUCGAAGGGUGCAGAAAGAGAAAGCUGGAUGACCUAAAUUGUAUGGAAUAUGGAAAUCCAAAUCAGGUCAGUGAUAUCUCAUCAACCAGUGGUGUCUUGGGUGAUAAUGGAAACAGUGCAGUGAACUAUGUUGUAGACCACAAUCAGUGUAAUAGUAUUGUUCCAUAUGCCGUAUCGUCAUCUAACAGUAUUUCGUAUGGUCAACGAAAUGUUGCUAAGAGUACCGCUCCUUCAUCCACUCAGGUUAUUCCCUCACAGAACUUCAUUCGUGCUUCGACGAUCAAGCUGCUCGAUACCUAUCAGGUAGGGAAUUGUUUAAUAUUGCGGAGAGAUUUUUAUUAUUAGCGUAAUAACUAGAAGUCGAGAGCAUGGCCGUAAAACUCUGCGUUUCUAAA
RNAcentral lists this unclassified non-coding RNA (846 nucleotides) under Centruroides sculpturatus (bark scorpion). RNAcentral describes it as "uncharacterized LOC111634957, transcript variant X6". The record is from RNAcentral. Lineage: Eukaryota; Metazoa; Arthropoda; Arachnida; Scorpiones; Buthidae.